CAGCCGCCGCGGUAAUACGAAGGGUGCAAGCGUUAAUCGGAAUUACUGGGCGUAAAGCGUGCGUAGGCGGUGAGUUAAGUCUGCUGUGAAAUCCCCGGGCUCAACCUGGGAAUGGCAGUGGAUACUGGCUCGCUAGAGUGUGUCAGAGGAUGGUGGAAUUCCCGGUGUAGCGGUGAAAUGCGUAGAGAUCGGGAGGAACAUCAGUGGCGAAGGCGGCCAUCUGGGACAACACUGACGCUGAGGCACGAAAGCGUGGGGAGCAAACAGGAUUAGAUACCCCAGUAGUCCUGUCUCUUAUACA
This 301-nucleotide ribosomal RNA is filed under the name uncultured bacterium. Its description in RNAcentral is "partial 16S ribosomal RNA". It matches the Rfam family "Bacterial small subunit ribosomal RNA", at positions 509 to 809 of the family's 1533-position model. The record is from RNAcentral.